CUAGCUUAUCUCUAAUUGUCACCCUGGAACAGUACACAUCUCCCUUAUGUCAUGUGUAGUGAAAGACAGCCUCAUCUAGGUCUCUGACGUUUCAGGACAAUUCAGUAACGUACUCCACAACCUCUGAAGUGUCACUCUUAUUCAAAUCAAAAGAGUGUUUCUGUUACCCAGACAUGGUAACAGAAUGUCUGUUGUGCAUGACAGCCUAUGGCAUCUAGGAAUAUGACUGAAUGGAAACCUGCACUGUUUUGGAUCAGCUACUGUAAACCAGGCUUUGCAGCAAGAAAAAAUAACUGCAGGAUGAUCUGUUCCAUGACCUUCCCUGACACUGAUUCAUUAGAAUCAGUUUGAGAAGUCUCUCCCAAUCUCACUGAAGACAUCUUCAUGGAGACUGUUUGUGAAGAAGACUCCUGUCACCAUCUGGACAUCUAUGGCCAUUCACUGGGAUGCUGUCUGAGAAUCAGGAACUGAACUUCACCCCAAUGACCCUAUAUGCUACUUCAUCCCUUCAGUCUGUGUUUCCUCUUCAUAUUAUAUUCUCUACUCUGGAAAGGUACCUUAGCUGCACAUCCCCAGUUACUUUCAAUUUGGACAGAAAUCUUCCACUCCUCACCCCUCCCACUAGAGGAUUUUGUCAGGGUGCAAAAAACAGAACCUACUUCAGUUUUGUCCUGGUACAAUUUUUUUAAGAAAACGAAGAAUAUAUUUACAGCUUUAUAU
Pezoporus occidentalis (night parrot) is the source of this 720-nucleotide long non-coding RNA. RefSeq lists it as uncharacterized. The record is from RefSeq and is a predicted model, not a curated record. Lineage: Eukaryota; Metazoa; Chordata; Aves; Psittaciformes; Psittacidae. The transcript has 2 exons.